CGGACGUGGAUAACCUGCCUCACACAGGGGGAUAACAGUUAGAAAUGACUGCUAAUACCGCAUAAGCGCACGGCAUCGCAUGAUGCAGUGUGAAAAACUCCGGUGGUGUGAGAUGGAUCCGCGUCUGAUUAGGUAGUUGGUGGGGUAACGGCCCACCAAGCCGACGAUCAGUAGUCGACCUGAGAGGGUGACCGGCCACAUUGGGACUGAGACACGGCCCAA
This 222-nucleotide ribosomal RNA is filed under the name uncultured bacterium. RNAcentral's name for it is "partial 16S ribosomal RNA". It matches the Rfam family "Bacterial small subunit ribosomal RNA", at positions 112 to 334 of the family's 1533-position model. The record is from RNAcentral.